Molecule: long non-coding RNA, 1174 nt
Filed under: Canis lupus familiaris (dog)
Lineage: Eukaryota; Metazoa; Chordata; Mammalia; Carnivora; Canidae
Description: lncRNA (ENSCAFG00000041360.2)
Source: RNAcentral
UAGAUGUUUCAGUGAAUUUACAAUGCUGAGUGCACUUGAAACCUAAAAUCAGAGAGAAUGGCACUGCUGCUCUAAUAAGACCUGGGGAAAUCAGAAACCUGGUUGUCUCCUAUGAGCACUGCUUUCCAGAAAACUCUCUCAACCAGUAGACUUCAUUCCGUUUAUGCCUAAAGAGAAAAUACGUUGAGCAAACCAAGGAAGGCUCUGGCAUAAACUAGAGCUGGUGACAUGGGACAUCAAACUAAGCUGUGAUUACUUCAUCAGAGAUUACCUUUCUAGAGGAUUCUGAAAAGGAUACUGAUGUUUAUUUUUGGAAUAGGCUUUCUUCUGAGAGAAGAGUUGCUUGAAAUCAUGCAGAUGUAUUUUAAGAAUGUACUCAAGAGAGGCACCCAAGAAGACAUUUUUGUAUGGAGAUGGGCAGAAAAUGAAGUGAGACUUGAACUUGGAGAGAAAACAAUGUCCUUUUCUUUUGAAGAGGAUCAGGAAGCUGAAAGAAGGAUUCCUGACAGUCAGGCUAAGCUGGACACCUCUAUGGAAACCUGCCAGGAGCUCUUCAAGAAUAAUGAAGUAGAGCCUAGAACCAUGGACUUUAAGAAUAGAUAAUAGCAGUUAUAAACUACUUUUUCUUUCUAUUUCCAUGUUCUCUAAGUUUUCCAAAUCUUAAAUCUUAUUAGAAGGUGCAGUCCUAUCUCUUUUGUGUUAUGGAAGAUAAGAGAACAUAAUGUCUCCUUCCAUCCAUUAAAGGUCAUUGAGGAGCAUUAAGAUGAUUACUUUUGGCUCCAAAUCCCAACUUCGUGUCUAUAUCACAAAGUUUGGCAGCAUGGAAGGCAGUAUCAGAGGGGAAAAAACUUGAGUUUAAUUUUUUUUUUUUUCUGGAAAAAACUGAGGCAGUUCCCAAGAAGUUAACAGAAAUAGCUGGGAAGCCAGUUUCUGAAAUUCAGGCGGCUCGGGACCUUGACAAAAUAAUUUGAUGGAAAACAGAUACACAAAGUCAUUCUAUAGACAUAGGAUAGUGAAGUUCAAGGACAAACAGCAUUAUUACACAGAAUCUAUUGUCUGAAGACAAUAGAUUUUUUUUUGGAAUUUUUUUGUAAUUCUGAAGCAUCCACUCUGUUAACUGUUCUUUUAGCUUCUUUGGCAUAGGGGAUGAACUAGAAAUCUUCCCUUGGCUUAG